RNAcentral lists this transfer RNA (57 nucleotides) under Ovis aries (sheep). It matches the Rfam family "tRNA", at positions 8 to 63 of the family's 71-position model. Rfam says of the family: Transfer RNA (tRNA) molecules are approximately 80 nucleotides in length. Their secondary structure includes four short double-helical elements and three loops (D, anti-codon, and T loops). Lineage: Eukaryota; Metazoa; Chordata; Mammalia; Artiodactyla; Bovidae. The record is from Rfam by way of RNAcentral.
UGGCUCAGAGGAUAAAGCGUCUGCCUGCAAUGCAGGAGAUCCGGGUUUGAUCCCUGG